UCUUGACGAAGCCUGAGAAAACCAAUAUAAUAGAAAAGCAUGAAAUUGCCUUUUGAAAGCUCCGUCUGGUAUGGUUGGGGUCCUGCGCAAUAAGACUCUGUGAACCUUGUCAGGUCCGGAAGGAAGCAGCAAUAAGCGGAAGUUCUUAUGUGCCGCAGAAAAGCCUUUGCUAGCGCCUUGCGGAGCUUUCAAAGGGCAAUUUAUUUUUAUAGUCAGGG
This 218-nucleotide signal recognition particle RNA is filed under the name Zhenpiania hominis. Its description in RNAcentral is "Bacterial large signal recognition particle RNA". It matches the Rfam family "Bacterial large signal recognition particle RNA". Rfam says of the family: The signal recognition particle (SRP) is a universally conserved ribonucleoprotein involved in the co-translational targeting of proteins to membranes. Archaeal SRP consists of a 7S RNA and homologues of the eukaryotic SRP19 and SRP54 proteins. Lineage: Bacteria; Bacillati; Bacillota; Clostridia; Peptostreptococcales; Anaerovoracaceae. The record is from Rfam by way of RNAcentral.